Molecule: ribosomal RNA, 502 nt
Filed under: uncultured bacterium
Lineage: Bacteria
Description: partial 16S ribosomal RNA
Rfam family: Bacterial small subunit ribosomal RNA
Source: RNAcentral
AUUGAACGCUGGCGGCAUGCCUUACACAUGCAAGUCGAACGGCAGCACGGGAGCUUGCUCCUGGUGGCGAGUGGCGAACGGGUGAGUAAUACAUCGGAACGUACCCAGGAGGGGGGGAUAACGUAGCGAAAGUUACGCUAAUACCGCAUAUUCUGUGAGCAGGAAAGCGGGGGAUCGCAAGACCUCGCGCUCUUGGAGCGGCCGAUGUCGGAUUAGCUAGUUGGUGAGGUAAAAGCUCACCAAGGCGACGAUCCGUAGCAGGUCUGAGAGGAUGAUCUGCCACACUAGGACUGAGACACGGCCCAGACUCCUACGGGAGGCAGCAGUGGGGAAUUUUGGACAAUGGGGGCAACCCUGAUCCAGCCAUGCCGCGUGAGUGAAGAAGGCCUUCGGGUUGUAAAGCUCUUUCGGCGGGGAAGAAAUGGCAACGGCUAAUAUCCGUUGUUGAUGACGGUACCCGCAUAAGAAGCACCGGCUAACUACGUGCCAGCCGCCGCGGUAA